This 217-nucleotide unclassified non-coding RNA is filed under the name Hevea brasiliensis (rubber tree). The record is from RNAcentral. Lineage: Eukaryota; Viridiplantae; Streptophyta; Magnoliopsida; Malpighiales; Euphorbiaceae.
CCCACUGGGAUGUACAGCAAUUGUUACUGGAUCACCUUCAGUUCCUUCAAGCACAUGCGUAGCCAAGGGAGAGGAAGAGAUAGACGUAGUAUCGGGAUCGAAGGAGAAGAACUCGAGCACAGAAGAAGAAUCGCGAGUCCUGGACUUGCCCAAGACCACCAGAUUAACGUUGUCGGGUCUCCGGAUCCACGAUCCGCAUGUCACUACCCCAUGUACC